Molecule: ribosomal RNA, 793 nt
Filed under: uncultured organism
Description: bacterial SSU rRNA
Rfam family: Bacterial small subunit ribosomal RNA
Source: RNAcentral
GUGAGGAACGCGUGAGUAACCUGCCCUUAAGUUGGGAAUAGCUCCUGGAAACGGGAAUUAAUACCGAAUGUGAUCGCCGGAAGACAUCUUCUGGUGAUUAAAGGCCGCAAGGUCGCUUAAGGAGGGGCUCGCGUCCCAUUAGCUAGUUGGUGAGGUAACGGCCCACCAAGGCGAAGAUGGGUAGCUGGUCUGAGAGGACGAUCAGCCACACUGGGACUGAGAUACUGCCCAGACUCCUACGGGAGGCUGCAGUCGAGAAUUUUGGGCAAUGGGGGCAACCCUGACCCAGCAAUGCCGCGUGCGGGAUGAAGGUCUUCGGAUUGUAAACCGCUGUCAAGAGGGACGAAUACAAUUGACGGUACCUCUGGAGGAAGUCACGGCUAACUACGUGCCAGCAGCCGCGGUAAUACGUAGGUGACAAGCGUUGUUCGGAUUCAUUGGGCGUAAAGGGUCCGCAGGUGGUUUGAUAAGUCUGACGUGAAAUACCGGAGCUCAACUCCGGAACUGCGUUGGAGACUGUUGAACUGGAGUAUCGGAGAGGAAAUUGGAAUUCCAGGUGUAGCGGUGGAAUGCGUAGAUAUCUGGAAGAACAUCGACAGCGAAGGCAGAUUUCUGGACGAUAACUGACACUCAGGGACGAAAGCAUGGGGAGCAAACAGGAUUAGAUACCCUGGUAGUCCAUGCCCUAAACGUUGUAAACUUGAUAUGGGGAGAUUUACUCCUUUCCGUGUCGAAGCUAACGCGAUAAGUUUACCGCCUGGGAAUUACGGCCGCAAGGCUACAACUCAAAGGA